RNAcentral lists this ribosomal RNA (246 nucleotides) under uncultured Treponema sp. Its description in RNAcentral is "partial 16S ribosomal RNA". It matches the Rfam family "Bacterial small subunit ribosomal RNA", at positions 796 to 1041 of the family's 1533-position model. The record is from RNAcentral. Lineage: Bacteria; Pseudomonadati; Spirochaetota; Spirochaetia; Treponematales; Treponemataceae.
CACACAGUAAACGAUGUACACUAGGUGUAGGUUUUUAGACAAGUCUGUGCCGCAUUUAACGUAAUAAGUGUACCGCCUGGGAAGUAUGCCCGCAAGGGUGAAACUCAAAGGAAUUGACGGGGGCCCGCACAAGCGGUGGAGCAUGUGGUUUAAUUCGAUGAUACGCGAGGAACCUUACCUGGGUUUGACAUCAACAGGAAAUGUAUAGAGAUAUAUAUGCGUAGCAAUACGCCUGUUGACAGGUGC